GGGUUGUGAGGUUAAGCGACUAAGCGUACACGGUGGAUGCCCUGGCAGUCAGAGGCGAUGAAGGGCGUGCUAAUCUGCGAUAAGCGCCGGUAAGGUGAUAUGAACCGUUAUAACCGGCGAUACCCGAAUGGGGAAACCCAGUGUGAUUCGUCACACUAUCAUUAACUGAAUCCAUAGGUUAAUGAGGCGAACCGGGGGAACUGAAACAUCUAAGUACCCCGAGGAAAAGAAAUCAACCGAGAUUCCCCCAGUAGCGGCGAGCGAACGGGGAGGAGCCCAGAGCCUGAAUCAGCAUGUGUGUUAGUGGAAGCGUCUGGAAAGGCGCGCGAUACAGGGUGACAGCCCCGUACACAAAAGCGUAUGUGCUGUGAGCUCGAUGAGUAGGGCGGGACACGUGGUAUCCUGUCUGAAUAUGGGGGGACCAUCCUCCAAGGCUAAAUACUCCUGACUGACCGAUAGUGAACCAGUACCGUGAGGGAAAGGCGAAAAGAACCCCGGCGAGGGGAGUGAAAAAGAACCUGAAACCGUGUACGUACAAGCAGUGGGAGCACCCUUUGGGGUGUGACUGCGUACCUUUUGUAUAAUGGGUCAGCGACUUAUAUUCUGUAGCAAGGUUAACCGAAUAGGGGAGCCGGAGGGAAACCGAGUCUUAAUUGGGCGUUAAGUUGCAGGGUAUAGACCCGAAACCCGGUGAUCUAGCCAUGGGCAGGUUGAAGGUUGGGUAACACUAACUGGAGGACCGAACCGACUAAUGUUGAAAAAUUAGCGGAUGACCUGUGGCUGGGGGUGAAAGGCCAAUCAAACCGGGAGAUAGCUGGUUCUCCCCGAAAGCUAUUUAGGUAGCGCCUCGUGAAUUCAUCUCCGGGGGUAGAGCACUGUUUCGGCUAGGGGGUCAUCCCGACUUACCAACCCGAUGCAAACUGCGAAUACCGGAGAAUGUUAUCACGGGAGACACACGGCGGGUGCUAACGUCCGUCGUGAAGAGGGAAACAACCCAGACCGCCAGCUAAGGUCCCAAAGUCAUGGUUAAGUGGGAAACGAUGUGGGAAGGCACAGACAGCCAGGAUGUUGGCUUAGAAGCAGCCAUCAUUUAAAGAAAGCGUAAUAGCUCACUGGUCGAGUCGGCCUGCGCGGAAGAUGUAACGGGGCUAAACCAUGCACCGAAGCUGCGGCAGCGACACUCAGGUGUUGUUGGGUAGGGGAGCGUUCUGUAAGCCUGUGAAGGUGGCCUGUGAGGGUUGCUGGAGGUAUCAGAAGUGCGAAUGCUGACAUAAGUAACGAUAAAGCGGGUGAAAAGCCCGCUCGCCGGAAGACCAAGGGUUCCUGUCCAACGUUAAUCGGGGCAGGGUGAGUCGACCCCUAAGGCGAGGCCGAAAGGCGUAGUCGAUGGGAAACGGGUUAAUAUUCCCGUACUUGGUGUUACUGCGAAGGGGGGACGGAGAAGGCUAUGUUGGCCGGGCGACGGUUGUCCCGGUUUAAGCGUGUAGGUGUGUGUUCCAGGUAAAUCCGGUUCACUUUAACACUGAGGCGUGACGACGAGGCACUACGGUGCUGAAGCAACAAAUGCCCUGCUUCCAGGAAAAGCCUCUAAGCAUCAGGUAACAUCAAAUCGUACCCCAAACCGACACAGGUGGUCAGGUAGAGAAUACCAAGGCGCUUGAGAGAACUCGGGUGAAGGAACUAGGCAAAAUGGUGCCGUAACUUCGGGAGAAGGCACGCUGACACGUAGGUGAAGUGAUUUACUCAUGGAGCUGAAGUCAGUCGAAGAUACCAGCUGGCUGCAACUGUUUAUUAAAAACACAGCACUGUGCAAACACGAAAGUGGACGUAUACGGUGUGACGCCUGCCCGGUGCCGGAAGGUUAAUUGAUGGGGUCAGCGCAAGCGAAGCUCCUGAUCGAAGCCCCGGUAAACGGCGGCCGUAACUAUAACGGUCCUAAGGUAGCGAAAUUCCUUGUCGGGUAAGUUCCGACCUGCACGAAUGGCGUAAUGAUGGCCAGGCUGUCUCCACCCGAGACUCAGUGAAAUUGAACUCGCUGUGAAGAUGCAGUGUACCCGCGGCAAGACGGAAAGACCCCGUGAACCUUUACUAUAGCUUGACACUGAACAUUGAGCCUUGAUGUGUAGGAUAGGUGGGAGGCUUUGAAGCGUGGACGCCAGUCUGCAUGGAGCCGACCUUGAAAUACCACCCUUUAAUGUUUGAUGUUCUAACGUGGACCCGUGAUCCGGGUUGCGGACAGUGUCUGGUGGGUAGUUUGACUGGGGCGGUCUCCUCCUAAAGAGUAACGGAGGAGCACGAAGGUUGGCUAAUCCUGGUCGGACAUCAGGAGGUUAGUGCAAUGGCAUAAGCCAGCUUGACUGCGAGCGUGACGGCGCGAGCAGGUGCGAAAGCAGGUCAUAGUGAUCCGGUGGUUCUGAAUGGAAGGGCCAUCGCUCAACGGAUAAAAGGUACUCCGGGGAUAACAGGCUGAUACCGCCCAAGAGUUCAUAUCGACGGCGGUGUUUGGCACCUCGAUGUCGGCUCAUCACAUCCUGGGGCUGAAGUAGGUCCCAAGGGUAUGGCUGUUCGCCAUUUAAAGUGGUACGCGAGCUGGGUUUAGAACGUCGUGAGACAGUUCGGUCCCUAUCUGCCGUGGGCGCUGGAGAACUGAGGGGGCUGCUCCUAGUACGAGAGGACCGGAGUGGACGCAUCACUGGUGUUCGGGUUGUCAUGCC
RNAcentral lists this ribosomal RNA (2714 nucleotides) under Salmonella enterica subsp. enterica serovar Manhattan str. SA20034532. Its description in RNAcentral is "bacterial LSU rRNA". It matches the Rfam family "Bacterial large subunit ribosomal RNA". Lineage: Bacteria; Pseudomonadati; Pseudomonadota; Gammaproteobacteria; Enterobacterales; Enterobacteriaceae. The record is from RNAcentral.